RNAcentral lists this ribosomal RNA (499 nucleotides) under uncultured bacterium. Its description in RNAcentral is "partial 16S ribosomal RNA". It matches the Rfam family "Bacterial small subunit ribosomal RNA", at positions 899 to 1396 of the family's 1533-position model. The record is from RNAcentral.
ACUCAAAGGAAUUGACGGGGACCCGCACAAGCGGUGGAGUAUGUGGUUUAAUUCGACACUACGCGAAGAACCUUACCAGCUCUUGACAUGGUGAUCAUACCUUUCGUAAUGGAAAGGGUCGGUUCGGCCGGAUCACACACAGGUGCUGCAUGGCUGUCGUCAGUUCGUGUCGUGAGAUGUUGGGUUAAGUCCCGCAACGAACGCAACCCUUAUCGUUAGUUGCUAACAUUUUAGGUGAGAACUUUAACGAUACUGCCGGUGAUAAACCGGAGGAAGGUGGGGACGAUGUCAAGUCAUCAUGGCCCUUAUGGGCUGGGCUACACACGUACUACAAUGGUGGUUACAAAGGGCAGCGAAGGGGCGACCUGAAGCGAAUCCCAAAAAGCCACCUCAGUUCGGAUUGUUCUCUGCAACUCGAGAACAUGAAGUCGGAAUCGCUAGUAAUCGUAGAUCAGCGUGCUACGGUGAAUACGUUCCCGGGUCUUGUACACACCGCCCG